AUUGAACGCUGGCGGCAGGCUUAACACAUGCAAGUCGAACGAGUGGCGGACGGGUGAGUAAUGUCUGGGAAACUGCCUGAUGGAGGGGUAUAACUACUGGAAACGGUAGCAAAAACCGCAUACCAUCGGAUGUCCCCAGAUGGGAUUAGCUAGUAGGUGGGGUAAAGGCUCACCUAGGCGACGAGCCCUAGCGGGUCUGAGAGGAUGACCAGCAACACUGGAACGUAGACACGGUCCAGCCUCCGACGGGGGGCAGAAGUGGGGAAUAUUGCAAAAUGGGCGCAAGCCUGAUGCAGCCAUGCCGCGUGUAUGAAGAAGGCCUUCGGGUUGUAAAGUACGUUCAGCGGGGAGGCGGUACCCGCAGAAGAAGCACCGGCUAACUCCGUGCCAGCAGCCGCGGUAAUAC
RNAcentral lists this ribosomal RNA (406 nucleotides) under uncultured bacterium. RNAcentral describes it as "partial 16S ribosomal RNA". It matches the Rfam family "Bacterial small subunit ribosomal RNA", at positions 29 to 526 of the family's 1533-position model. The record is from RNAcentral.